This 1042-nucleotide long non-coding RNA is filed under the name Marmota monax (woodchuck). Lineage: Eukaryota; Metazoa; Chordata; Mammalia; Rodentia; Sciuridae. The record is from RNAcentral.
CUCAGAGAAGGCAAGUGACACACAGGGUUGAACUCAUUGAUUAUAUACAUGAUUUUCACAGGAAGAAACACGCAGCUUCCAAGGCAAGCUUUUUUGAAAAUCAAAUCCCAUGAUAACUGUUUUAGUUAGCUUUUUCACUGCUGUGACCAAAAGACCUGACUAGAAAAACUAAAGGAGGAAAAGUUUACUUGGGGGCUCACAAUUUCAGAGGUCUCAGUCUAUAUAGGAUAGCUUUAUUCCUCAGGGCUCAGGGUAAGGAGGAAGAGUGUGGUGGAGGAAAGCAGCUCAAGACAUGGAACAGGAAGCAGAAAGAAAUUAAGCUCAGUUCACAAAAUAUAAAAGGCACACCCCCAAUGACCCACUUCUUUCAGCCAUACCCAACACGCCUACAGUCACCACUGUUAAUCCUUAUUAGGGGAUUAAUACACUGAUUUGGUUAAACCUCUAUACCCCAUCAUUUCUGCUCUAAACUUUCUUGCAUUCUCUCACACAAGAGCUUUUGGGGGACUCUGCAGAUCUAAAGCACAACAAUAAUCAUUUGAUAUUUGGGGCUCGGGGUGUUUCUUUUUGGUUAAGCAGUCUAGCCACAAAUCAUUUGUGGGCACAUUGAGUAAGUCUUUGAAUCUGGUGACAUUAAAUUGAUUAUGUUUUUGUCCUUGUUGAUGUGUUGCAAGCACAGCUGGAGGUUUCGUUUAUCUAAGGGUCUCCAUCUACUGAGUCUCUUUUUCUCUCUCCCUGAGAACUCACCUGUGUCAAAAUGGCCUCCAGAAUCUUUAGAAAGCUGUUUCGGUAUACCCCGAACUUCAAGGUCAAGAGUAGAGACUGCUGAGACUAGAGGAGCCACUUACUGCACGCAGAGGGGUAGCCCAUCUGGGACUACCAGGCCUCAGUCACUCACUCACUCACUGUUCAGAGGUGAGUCAUGGAGGUGAGAAGACAGGGUCAAAUUCUUAACUCAGUGGUAUCUCUGGAGUCUGUGUGGGGUGGGAUGCUGUGGGCUCUUUGAGCUGACCUUAGCAGCAGGCCUAGUGCUGAAUGAAGU